RNAcentral lists this ribosomal RNA (394 nucleotides) under uncultured bacterium. RNAcentral describes it as "bacterial SSU rRNA". It matches the Rfam family "Bacterial small subunit ribosomal RNA", at positions 30 to 426 of the family's 1533-position model. The record is from RNAcentral.
AUUGAACGCUGGCGGCAUGCCUUACACAUGCAAGUCGAACGGCAGCACGGGGCAACCUGGUGGCGAGUGGCGAACGGGUGAGUAAUGCAUCGGAACGUGCCAUUGAGUGGGGGAUAACGUAGCGAAAGUUGCGCUAAUACCGCAUAUUCUGUGAGCAGGAAAGCAGGGGACCGCAAGGCCUUGCGCUCUUUGAGCGGCCGAUGUCAGAUUAGCUAGUUGGUGAGGUAACGGCUUACCAAGGCGACGAUCUGUAGCGGGUCUGAGAGGAUGAUCCGCCACACUGGAACUGAGACACGGUCCAGACUCCUACGGGAGGCAGCAGUGGGGAAUUUUGGACAAUGGGCGCAAGCCUGAUCCAGCCAUGCCGCGUGAGUGAAGAAGGCCUUCGGGUUGG